AAGUGUCACAGCUCUUUUAGAAUUUGUCCAGCAGGUUUUCUGGCUUGUGCCGGAAAACCCAC
RNAcentral lists this small nuclear RNA (62 nucleotides) under Castor canadensis (American beaver). RNAcentral describes it as "U7 small nuclear RNA (ENSCCNG00000025455.1)". It matches the Rfam family "U7 small nuclear RNA". From Rfam's summary of the family: Animal histone pre-mRNAs are spliced by a different mechanism than nuclear pre-mRNAs and self-splicing introns. This processing involves the U7 snRNP, which contains only one RNA species: U7. Lineage: Eukaryota; Metazoa; Chordata; Mammalia; Rodentia; Castoridae. The record is from Rfam by way of RNAcentral.